GACGAACGCUGGCGGCGUGCUUAACACAUGCAAGUCGAACGGAAAGGCCCUGCUUUUGUGGGGUGCUCGAGUGGCGAACGGGUGAGUAACACGUGAGUAACCUGCCCUUGACUUUGGGAUAACUUCAGGAAACUGGGGCGAAUACCGGAUAGGAGCUCUUGCUGCAUGGUGGGGGUUGGAAAGUUUCGGCGGUUGGGGAUGGACUCGCGGCUUAUCAGCUUGUUGGUGGGGUAGUGGCUUACCAAGGCUUUGACGGGUAGCCGGCCUGAGAGGGUGACCGGCCACAUUGGGACUGAGAUACGGCCCAGACUCCUACGGGAGGCAGCAGUGGGGAAUAUUGCACAAUGGGCGGAAGCCUGAUGCAGCAACGCCGCGUGCUGGAUGACGGCCUUCGGGUUGUAAACCGCUUUCGCCUGUGACGAAGCGUGAGUGACGGUAAUGUGUAAAGAAGCACCGGCUAACUACGUG
This 468-nucleotide ribosomal RNA is filed under the name uncultured bacterium. Its description in RNAcentral is "partial 16S ribosomal RNA". It matches the Rfam family "Bacterial small subunit ribosomal RNA", at positions 28 to 507 of the family's 1533-position model. The record is from RNAcentral.